AGAAUCAACGCUGGCGGCGUGCCUAACACAUGCAAGUCGCACGAGAAAGGGGAGCAAUCCCUGAGUACAGUGGCGCACGGGUGAGUAACACGUGAAUAAUCUACCUCCGAGCGGGGAAUAACUGAGAGAAAUCUUAGCUAAUACCGCAUAAUACCCACGGGUCAAAGCAGCAAUGCGCUUGGAGAGGAGUUCGCGGCAGAUUAGUUAGUUGGCGGGGUAAUGGCCCACCAAGACGAUGAUCUGUA
RNAcentral lists this ribosomal RNA (245 nucleotides) under uncultured bacterium. Its description in RNAcentral is "partial small subunit ribosomal RNA". It matches the Rfam family "Bacterial small subunit ribosomal RNA", at positions 26 to 285 of the family's 1533-position model. The record is from RNAcentral.